RNAcentral lists this ribosomal RNA (254 nucleotides) under uncultured bacterium. Its description in RNAcentral is "partial 16S ribosomal RNA". It matches the Rfam family "Bacterial small subunit ribosomal RNA", at positions 526 to 779 of the family's 1533-position model. The record is from RNAcentral.
CGUAGGUCACAAGCGUUAUCCGGAAUUAUUGGGCGUAAAGGGAGCGCAGGCGGUUUAUCAAGUUUGUGGUUAAAGUUCGGGGCUUAAACCCCGUGAUGCCACAGAAACUGGUAGACUAGAGUGCAGGAGAGGUGAGUGGAAUUCCAUGUGUAGCGGUAAAAUGCGUAGAUAUAUGGAGGAACACCAGUGGCGAAGGCGGCUCACUGGCCUGUUACUGACGCUGAGGCUCGAAAGCGUGGGGAGCAAAUAGGAUU